ACCCGUCUUGAAACACGGACCAAGGAGUCUAACAUGUGCGCGAGUCAUUGGGUGGACUCUAAACCUAAAGGCGCAAUGAAAGUGAAGGUCACGCCUCGCGCGGACCGAGGGAAGAUGGGGCGCGCGGCAGCGCCGCUCCCGCAUUCCCGGGGCGUCUCGUUCUCAUUGCGAGUUGAGGCGCACCCAGAGCGUACACGUUGGGACCCGAAAGAUGGUGAACUAUGCCUGGCCAGGACGAAGUCAGGGGAAACCCUGAUGGAGGUCCGUAGCGAUUCUGACGUGCAAAUCGAUCGUCGGAGCUGGGUAUAGG
This 310-nucleotide ribosomal RNA is filed under the name Cyphoderris buckelli. RNAcentral describes it as "eukaryotic LSU rRNA". It matches the Rfam family "Eukaryotic large subunit ribosomal RNA", at positions 647 to 921 of the family's 3401-position model. The record is from RNAcentral. Lineage: Eukaryota; Metazoa; Arthropoda; Insecta; Orthoptera; Prophalangopsidae. RNAcentral also lists the same sequence under 1 other name.